RNAcentral lists this ribosomal RNA (255 nucleotides) under uncultured bacterium. RNAcentral describes it as "partial 16S ribosomal RNA". It matches the Rfam family "Bacterial small subunit ribosomal RNA", at positions 335 to 605 of the family's 1533-position model. The record is from RNAcentral.
AGCCCUACGGGACGCAGCAGUGGGGAAUAUUGGGCAAUGGACGCAAGUCUGACCCAGCAACGCCGCGUGAAGGAAGAAGGCUUUCGGGUUGUAAACUUCUUUUAAGGGGGAAGAGUAGAAGACGGUACCCCUUGAAUAAGCCACGGCUAACUACGUGCCAGCAGCCGCGGUAAUACGUAGGUGGCAAGCGUUGUCCGGAUUUACUGGGUGUAAAGGGCGUGCAGCCGGAGAGGCAAGUCAGAUGUGAAAUCCGCG